This 111-nucleotide non-coding RNA is filed under the name unclassified sequences. RNAcentral's name for it is "FMN sequence". It matches the Rfam family "FMN riboswitch aptamer (RFN element)". From Rfam's summary of the family: The RFN element is a highly conserved domain that is found frequently in the 5'-untranslated regions of prokaryotic mRNAs that encode for flavin mononucleotide (FMN) biosynthesis and transport proteins. This element is a metabolite-dependent riboswitch that directly binds FMN in the absence of proteins. The record is from RNAcentral.
UGCUUUCUUCGGAAACGAGGUAUUCUCUACUGGCGGUCAAAGCCCGCGAGCCAUGCGCUGAUUCGGUGAAAUUCCGAAGCCAACAGUUGGUCUGGAUGGGAGAAGAAAGAG